Molecule: ribosomal RNA, 435 nt
Filed under: Triticum aestivum (bread wheat)
Lineage: Eukaryota; Viridiplantae; Streptophyta; Magnoliopsida; Poales; Poaceae
Description: partial small subunit ribosomal RNA
Source: RNAcentral
AUGCGGCCUAUAAAAGGCGCACCAUUCUCCACAACGCAGGCAGCAGCCAACUCCUCACCGACGCACAGUCGCACAGACACAGCACGAGAACAGCUUCACCACUUCCCUCCCUCCCAUCCGAGCCCAAGAAGCAGCAACAAUGGCGGCGUCGAAGGCCACCCUGUCUGCUUCAUGGUCGUGGCUCUCGUGACGGCGCUGCUGGCGGCGCCGGGCGCGGUGGAGGCGGCCACGUGCAGCCCGACGCAGCUGCCCCCGUGCGCGCCGGCCACCAUCGGGAACGCGGCGUCGAGCGCGGCGUGCUGCGGGAAGCUGAAGGCGCACCCGGCGAGCUGCCUGUGCAAGUACAAGAAGGACCCCAACCUGCAGCGCUACGUCAACUCCCGCAACGGCAAGAAGGUCUUCGCCGCGUGCAAGCUGCACCUGCCAAGAUGCUGA